GGAGGCUGUUUGUAAAAUCUGAGAAGCCCUGAUCCAUGAGGACUGAUGGGGUUCAGACCUGGAAAGAGGUGACAGCGACAGUGGUCUCAUAGGAAUCUGUGUUGCAACACCAUGGUGCUGGUUUACUACCAUUAUUGCUGUGCUUUGACCUGGAUUCUAGAGCUAAGAGAGAUUGACCUACUGCCCCAUGAAGUGAAAAAAAGAACCCCACGCCCUCCACAGAAGGCAAGAAUGAUCACGCCAUGGCUCGCUUCUAGAUGAAAUUCACACCGAAAGCGCACUUACCUUCCUGCUGCUUCUCUUCAAAGGGGGUAGAAUGAAUUCCACCAUGCACCCAGCCCCAUGCCCAGGGCUCCAGACGUCUUUUUCUCGGCGGAAAAGCCUGGCCACUGGAAGCGAGCACUCAGCGGAGAACUCUGAAUUAGUCGGGAACUGUCUCUGGCUGUUGCAGAAGUCAGUGGAACCAAUUGGGUCAUGAAUGGAAUAAACUCCCCAAAAUUCAAACCCCAGAGGCCGAAAGGAAGCGCACAAUGCCAGAUGCGGUUCCCAGAAGCUCCUGUCCCUCUGACAGCUGUCGUUUGAGCCGCCCGGGAGACGAACUGUCCUCCUCGCCGGUGCCAGAGGACGCAGGAAAUUAGCCAGGUUGCGAGUUGUGAGGCUGCGGCGCCGGGCACCGGGCGCUGCCCACCUCCCGCGCGAGCGGCGGG
Jaculus jaculus (lesser Egyptian jerboa) is the source of this 707-nucleotide long non-coding RNA. RefSeq lists it as uncharacterized. The transcript is spliced from 6 exons. The record is from RefSeq and is a predicted model, not a curated record. NCBI's taxonomy places the organism in Eukaryota, Metazoa, Chordata, Mammalia, Rodentia, Dipodidae.